UACGGGGGGGGCAAGCGUUGUUCGGAAUUACUGGGCGUAAAGGGCUCGUAGGUGGCCAACUAAGUCAGACGUGAAAUCCCCAGGCUCAACUUGGGAACUGCGUCUGAUACUGGAUGGCUUGAAUUCGGGAGAGGGAUGCAGAAUUCCAGGUGUAGUGGUGAAAUGCGUAGAUAUCGGGAGGAACACCAGUGGCGAAGGCGACUACCUGGCCUGUUCUUGACGCUGAGGCGCGAAAGCUAGGGGAGCAAACGGG
Molecule: ribosomal RNA, 253 nt
Filed under: uncultured bacterium
Lineage: Bacteria
Description: partial 16S ribosomal RNA
Rfam family: Bacterial small subunit ribosomal RNA
Source: RNAcentral